RNAcentral lists this long non-coding RNA (572 nucleotides) under Homo sapiens (human). RNAcentral describes it as "HSALNT0405221". The record is from RNAcentral. Lineage: Eukaryota; Metazoa; Chordata; Mammalia; Primates; Hominidae.
CAGCUGGUACCUGGGAUCGGGCAGGACGGUCCUCUUGCUGGCGCGGGCGGCCGGAGUCGCCUUGCUCUUCUCCAUGGCCAUCAGGUAAUGAUGAAGCCCCUGCUCUGGUCCAAGCUACCUGUGAACAGCGCCCAGCGGGCCGGGCCCCCAACCUCGCUCCUGAACGUACCCGCAAGCCCGCCGUGAGAAUUCAGCGAAGAGUAAAGGCUGGAGAAAGUUGCGUGUCUCAGGCUAAGCAGAGCAAAGUGGGGUGAGGGCUUCGCCGCUAGGAACAGAGAUGCCCUUAGGGAGCCCCCUGAUGGAAGAGCUCUCUGCUUAAGAAGUUUUACCACGUUUUUCAAGAUCCAAGGCACAAUAGGCAUAAAGUUAUCCUGAAAAGGACAAGAGGAGUGUCAGAAGUAGGAAUGGCAGUCGAAGGAGCUUCGUCUGGCAGCAGAAAGCCAAAAUGACAGGAAAAGUGGAAAUGAGGCCUUUUACCCCAGGGUUGUUGAGAAGACAGGGGAGAAAAAGCACAUAAAAAUGCACCUUGUCGGGCGCAGUGGCUCACACCUGUAAUCCUGCACUUUGGGAGU